CAGGGAGACAACAAAAUGUUUUAUAUUAUUAUUUUGUCACCUUAGGUCGAUCGGUAUCUCACGUUCUUAAUUAUUUUAAGAAUUUCAUUUCCUAAGUUUUUCUAGGUCACACCCAUUAUUUUUCCUGGGCCAUUAGCUCAGGUGGUUAGAGCGCACCCCUGAUAAGGGUGAGGUCCCUGGUUCAAGUCCAGGAUGGCCCAUAUCUCUAUGUUGGGGGUAUAGCUCAGUUGGUAGAGCGCCUGCUUUGCAAGCAGGAUGUCAGCGGUUCGAGUCCGCUUACCUCCACUGAUUACCACCUCUCCCAUAUUUGUAGAAAGGAAAUUUUUUGUGUUGUGAUCAAAUUCUGAACGAAUCUAGCUUCCUAAUGAAAUCAUUAAGAUGCUGGACUCAUUGAAUUAAUUUCAUUGUUUUCAGAGAACCUUGACAACUGCAUAGAUUAUUUUUAAAGACAAUAAGCAUCUUUAAUGAUGCAGAUUUAUUAUUUGUGCUAAUGCAUUAAUAACAAUUCUAUUAAGCUGAUGCUUCAAUUUUGAAGUUAUU
Molecule: transfer RNA, 540 nt
Filed under: uncultured Prochlorococcus sp.
Lineage: Bacteria; Bacillati; Cyanobacteriota; Cyanophyceae; Synechococcales; Prochlorococcaceae
Description: partial 16S-23S ribosomal RNA intergenic spacer
Rfam family: tRNA (bases 213-285)
Source: RNAcentral